GGUUUUCGCAAUAGAUUACAUUGUACAGUAUACAUAUCUCCUUCUUUUUAUAUAUACGUGCUUAUCUAUAUGAUCACUAAUAACCGGACUUUCCGAUCGGGAUUAAAUAUAAGUUUUAAUAGAGUAAAGAAAUAUUUAUGGACAGGAUCCAAGUAAAAUGUGUUGUGAUGGGAGAUAUAAAGGUUGGGAAGACAUCAUUGAUUAUGUCGUACGCAUAUAACAUAUUUCAGGAAGAAGAUAUUCCACUCGUAUUUGAUUUUUAAACAACUGUAACUGCGAACGACAAAGUAGUAGACCUCGUUUUAUGGGACACGUGUGGUAGUGAUGAUUAUAACAAACUGCGUCCAUUAUCCCUUCCAGAUACAGAUGUCUUUUUUGUUUGUUUUUCUCUGGAUGACCCAGACAGCUUUGAAUUUAUUGAGCAAAAAUGUUACCCAGAUAUCAAACUUCUCUGUCCAAAUGCAUUAACUUUGCUUGUUGGUACCAAAAAAGAUUUGAUAACUAUUGGGCAGAAUGAACAGGAAAUUAGGGAGAAAGACACAAGCAAUUUAUAUUCUUAUAAGCAAGGAAUCAACCUGGCAGAACGGAUUCAAGCAGUAAAAUAUAUAGAGUGUUCUGCAAAAACAGGAGAGGGAAUUCAAUCAGUGUUAGAAGAAGCAAUUAAAUGUGUAUUUGAUAAGACGAAACGAUUCAAAAAAAAUAAUUCAACGUGUAAUUUAUUGUAGUUGCUUAACUGUCUUUUGCUCAGUAUCUGUUCUGUAGUAAUUUAAAGAUAUUCUUCUCAUUUUUCACAGGUAGCUAAACACCAUGAAUCAACAAUAAGGCACCGAUCAAUCAUCUUUUUAUGGGGAACAUUGUUUUUUCGUUCAAUAAAUUAUUUGAUACCAAAGGAGGAGAUAUUUUGUUUGGCUGCUAACAUAACAAAAAUAGUAAACUUGUUCCGGCCGUUC
Long non-coding RNA from Mytilus californianus (California mussel), 950 nucleotides. RefSeq lists it as uncharacterized. Lineage: Eukaryota; Metazoa; Mollusca; Bivalvia; Mytilida; Mytilidae. The record is from RefSeq and is a predicted model, not a curated record. The transcript is spliced from 5 exons.